RNAcentral lists this transfer RNA (108 nucleotides) under Mesorhizobium sp. RNAcentral's name for it is "tRNA-Glu". It matches the Rfam family "tRNA". From Rfam's summary of the family: Transfer RNA (tRNA) molecules are approximately 80 nucleotides in length. The record is from RNAcentral. Lineage: Bacteria; Pseudomonadati; Pseudomonadota; Alphaproteobacteria; Hyphomicrobiales; Phyllobacteriaceae.
CACGGCGUAGCUCAGCUGGAUAGAGCGCCUCGCUUUCGACCGGGUAGUGCGUAGCACCGCUAUCUAGGGGCGAGGAGGCCGCGGGUUCAAGUCCCGCCGCCGUUGCCA